CAGCAGCCGCGGUAAUACGAAGGGUGCAAGCGUUAAUCGGAAUUACUGGGCGUAAAGCGUGCGUAGGCGGUUUGUUAAGUCUGCUGUGAAAUCCCCGGGCUCAACCUGGGAAUGGCAGUGGAUACUGGCAAGCUAGAGUGUGUCAGAGGAUGGUGGAAUUCCCGGUGUAGCGGUGAAAUGCGUAGAGAUCGGGAGGAACAUCAGUGGCGAAGGCGGCCAUCUGGGACAACACUGACGCUGAGGCACGAAAGCGUGGGGAGCAAACAGGAUUAGAUACCCCAGUAGUCCCUGUCUCUUAUAA
Molecule: ribosomal RNA, 301 nt
Filed under: uncultured bacterium
Lineage: Bacteria
Description: partial 16S ribosomal RNA
Rfam family: Bacterial small subunit ribosomal RNA
Source: RNAcentral